UGGGUGCAUGGCGGUGGAGGGUGUUUAUACCUGAAAUCUGACCUGCGCCGUCAUCCUACUUAUUUCAGUGUCUCUAAAUAUUCACCAGCUGAGCUGCUCUCCUGAGAGUGAAACUGGACUCAAAGUUUGAGUGAAGGAAGAACUGUGUUGGGACUUUUCUUUAAAUGUGUGUGACACUCUCAUAGAUAUUAGUUAUAGUCCCUGUCCUCCCUCCCGUUUCCUGCCUCUCUCUCUCUCUCUCUCGUUCUGUUAUGUUAAGUAGCAGGCCUGCUUUCUGUCCACCACUCUUUCCUCCUUGGGUUUCAAUUCCAAACAUGGUUAUCCUUCUAGUGCUCAAUCAACGCCCACCCUCCCUUAUGCCCGUCUCUUCCAGCUGUUGGCUCUACAGAGCAGGCCGGUGGGGUGAGAGAAACAGACAGAAAGGCUACAGGAAGAGGAGAGGAAGGGACGCAUAAUGAGAGAAGAAGAAGAUUCCAGCUGUGUUUCUAUAACAAAUAGAGCCGUGAGAACUUCUUCACAUUGAAGGAUUUUCCACCACACGCCAAGGGAACAAAACUUCUAACAUUCUUCUGUUUAUUUUUAAAUCAAACAAAACAUCCCGUCGUCCAUGUUGAUGGGACAGAAAUAGCCCCGUUGGAUAAGAAGUCUUUGUGUUGCCUCUUCUUGUCAUUUGAAGACAAACAUGAGCAGUGAUAACUCGACUCUGCUGGACAGCUUGUUCUUCCCUCCGCUCUGCGAUGGCUGGACCAACAACACGGAGGGAGCCAUCUACCAUCUGGGCAACACCAUGCUGUUCCUGGGCUACAUGGGGGGCAGCGGGGCCUACGGGUGCCUCUUCAUCUUCGGCUUCCUGGCUCCGGCCUUCGGGUGCCUCGCCCUGUGGGGCUGGAUGACCAUGUGCGGCCUGGACGUCUUCACCUGGAACCUGCUCCUGGUGCUGGCCUGCGUGGUUCAGAUCUGCCACCUGCUGUACCGGCUGCACCAGGAGGGCAUACGCAGCGAGGAGCUGACCUCGCUCUACCAGGCAGUGUACCUGCCGCUGGGCGUACCCGUCCACGUGUUCAAGGAGAUCGCGGGCGCCUUCGAGAACAAGGUGGUGGAGGUGAAGGCGGGAGAGACGUACGCCGUGGAGGGCAAGACGCCUAUCGACCGGCUCUCCUUUCUGCUGUCUGGGAGGAUCAACGUGUCUCUGGAGGGCCAGUUCCUUCAUUACAUCCACCGCCACCAGUUCCUCGACUCCCCAGAGUGGGAGUCGCUCAGACCAAACGAGGACGGAAAGUUCCAGGUGACCAUGACUGCAGAGGAAGACUCCCGCUACGUCUCGUGGCGUCGCCGGCGCCUCUAUUUGCUGAUCUCGAAGAACCGCUACAUCGCCCGCGUCUUCUCCGUCAUGCUUGGCUACGACAUCGCCGAGAAGCUCUACAACCUCAACGACAAGCUCUACAUCAAGAGCGGCGUGCUGCUGGACAUCCGCCUGCCCAGCCUCUACCACGUGCUGGCCCCCUCCUCGCAGGGCAGCGAGGGCGGUAGCGGCAGCGGCAGCGGCAGCGGUAGUGACGGGGGGAUCGGCAAGGAGCAGCAACAGCAGGGCGAAGACCCGGCGCCGGCCUACCAGAUGUCCGAUCCGGCCCAGUUUCAACCCCACCUGCAGGGACCAAGGAACGCCGCCCUGGAUGAACCCCCGGCCCCUCAGCGUGAGCGUUAUCAGCCCCCCUGGGCGUCAGACCCCGAGCUGCCCACUGGUGAGGACUCCACCAGCCUGGUCCUGGAGGACUUUGCCGAUGUGGCGGGCUCCUUAACGGAUUAUGGCAGUGAGGGGAAUUAUUUGAGGUAGAGGGUGCAGGGUGCUGGAGCUAACACACACUGGGUCACACCUUAAGCUACAUGAGGUGAUAGUGACGGAGAUCUACCGCCUCGAUUCAAGAGGGGCAGAGCGCCGCUGGCUCCCACCGACACUCCCAAACUGUGAGAACAGUCUCUCCUGGAAACACUAUAUAUCAUCUACAGUAUAGCAGAAUGAACGUGUCACGUACGUCACUUGUUAGGACACCGUCCGUCCUCGCUCUCUGUCCCUGUUCUCACCUCAGUUCACAUCUUCACCCCUGAUUCCUUCUCUCUAUUUAAAUUACAGUUUGAGUGAUAAGGCAGCUAAUAUUUAUGUCUUUUAACCAUCAAUAUUUUCACCAUAAUAACUGCCUUAAAAUCAUAAAAACAGGGGGACCCACCACAUGUAUAAGUGAAACUUCUAGAUAUUUUAGCAUUUCAAUGAACUUGGCAUUUAAAAAAUCUACAAUUUAACAGCUGAGUGAACCAAUAAAAUGCUAAAAGAACAUUUAUAUUAUGUGUUUCUGUAGCUUCUAUCUGAGAGAAACAUCUGUCCAAUUAAAGGAUGACAUGUUAACUUGCAGAUAUCCAACAUUUAAUAAACUGAAUAAACAAAAUAAUAUCUGAAUUAAAUCCUAAUUACACACAAGUGGCACUGCAACACCGAGGACAGAGGGACGGCCUUCACUUUACCAGCACAUUAAAUGUCUGAAAUGUUAUUUUAUGUAAUAAAAAUGGAUUCUGUGGUACUGAAACAGAUGCAUUUGGUUUCCAUCUCACUUAUAUUUCAUGUUUAAACUAUGAUUGUUGUGAUUUGGACUUCACAUGUUUACCCCCCCCCCCAUAAAUCACUCAUACUACUAUAUUGAUUUAACUUAGUAAGGUUACUUACUGCACAUUCAGGCCUGCAUUAUACUCAAUUCUUUAAUCCUAAUUCAAGAUCUGGAAAAUAUUUAGUUUUGCAUACUUCUUGAGAACUUUCCAGACGUGUAUAUGAAAACUUGGCAGUUAAGUUUUUCUCCAUUUCACUUUCAUGUUUAGUUUAUUUAUCUGAAUGCACCAUGACUUGAUGCUAAAUUCAUCUGGAGGACGACCUCUUAUGUCUUCUUUGGUGAUAUAUUGGAUGCCUGUAGAUCAUGUUUUUCUUUUCUUUUUAAGUUUUGUAACUAAUUGAGUAUUUAAUACACACGUGUAAACUCUGAAUUGCAUUAUUUGUCCUGUUAUUGACUUGCAAAAUACAUUUAGAUAGGGCUAAAACGAAGAAAAGUAUUUUCAUGGGGCCAAGAUUUCUCCAUAAAGCUUCUUUGUGUGCAGUGAAAAUGUAGUUUGUUUUCUGUGUCUACUUCCUGUCAGACGACUCAACACUGAGCUAAUGGCACCCUGAUUAUACUCCAAAUUAUUAAUGCAUCAGUAGGCGAGAAAAUCUCCUCUUGAGCUAAUCUUUAAUUACAGAGUAAUCUUCAAAAGAUUCUUCUAAUGCCAGUUUUUCCAAUUUGUUUUAGAUGAGCUGCAGUUUCUAAUUCAGUAUCUAACACACAAACAUCAUUAUUUAACCUCCAAACAUCCUCAGAGAAAAGCACAGUUACCGUUUAUUGCUUGACUUUAAAAAGACAAACUGAAUUCAGCAUCAUUAAACCGACUGGAACAUCCUAAAACCAGAAUAUAGAGAAAGGUUUCAUUCUUUCAACACUUCUCAGAGCUGCAGGACGGAGCUAAACCUGAAUAAUAAUAAUAAUAAAAACAUGCUAUAGAUCCAGUGGUGAUGUUGGAAGAUCAGUAGAUUAGCCACAUAACUAAAUAAUAAAGUUAGUAGUAGAGUGAUCGUCUCCUCUCCAGAUUAAAAUGUGGUUCUUUGGCUCUCUGAUCAUUAAACGAGGUGGA
This is an RNA transcript of Sebastes umbrosus (honeycomb rockfish), 3705 nucleotides long. It is a transcript of the gene named popeye domain containing 2, with no coding region annotated. Lineage: Eukaryota; Metazoa; Chordata; Actinopteri; Perciformes; Sebastidae. The transcript has 4 exons. The record is from RefSeq and is a predicted model, not a curated record.